RNAcentral lists this transfer RNA (73 nucleotides) under Cordylochernes scorpioides. RNAcentral's name for it is "tRNA-Thr". The record is from RNAcentral. Lineage: Eukaryota; Metazoa; Arthropoda; Arachnida; Pseudoscorpiones; Chernetidae.
GUCCAGGGGCGGGAAUCGAACCCACACCCUUCUGCUUACCGGGCAGGUGCCUUGUCCACCUGGCUACCCUGGA